This 184-nucleotide ribosomal RNA is filed under the name uncultured archaeon. RNAcentral describes it as "partial 16S ribosomal RNA". It matches the Rfam family "Archaeal small subunit ribosomal RNA", at positions 467 to 651 of the family's 1478-position model. The record is from RNAcentral.
GCGGUAAAACCAGCUCUCCGAGUGGUGGGGACAAUUAUUGGGCUUAAAGCGUUCGUAGCCGGCUCAGCAAGUCUUCCGUUAAAUCCAACGAUCUAAUCGUUGGGCUGCGGGGAAUACUGCAGGGCUAGGGGGCGGGAGAAGUCGACGGUACUCUCGGGGUAGGGGUGAAAUCCUAUAAUCCCGG